Long non-coding RNA from Gallus gallus (chicken), 1898 nucleotides. The record is from Ensembl. Lineage: Eukaryota; Metazoa; Chordata; Aves; Galliformes; Phasianidae.
GCUAAUUCUGAUGUGGCAACAUCUCUGGCAAAAUGCAAUCAAAUUUAUAUUACACUGUUUGUCUUAAUUCCCAGGAUUUAUCUGUUUUGCCUAUUUUAUGUAAAUGGAUUUUUUUUUCUCUAUAAUUUCCGUAAUGGGAAAACCUCUAUGAAAGCAGUAGCUCUUCAGGUAGAAACUUAGGCUUAACUAAUAGUAGCUCUCAGAAACUUAAAGGUAACUCAUCUGGAAUUACCCUGUUAAAGCAAAACAUCAAUAAAAUACCUGUUAACCAGAAAGAAGAACAGGAAAGCAAGCUAGCUUCCAGACUUCUGAAUUUUGUUAAUGACAACUACACAUAUAUCCAUGUUAAAUAUGACUUAAUCAACAGGCUUGCUUGUAUACCACCUAGCAUUGCAAGUUUAUGUGCUAUGGAUUUACAGCUUAGGUUUAUUAGGCAAUACUUAUUACUUUCUAUUUUUACUGUAGAACUGGAAUUGCAGGGAACAGAGAAUGGAAUUUAGGCUUCAAACUCUGUAAGUCUCACUGGAUGGCUUUACAGAGGAGGUGAACAAAUCAGUGUGCAAGAGUGGGUGAAAUUCAGAAGUAGGAAUGUAAAUGCAAAAUUAUGAAACCAGCAGUAUGAAGUAAGGAAUCACUGUUAGACUGAAGUCUUUCAUCUUUGUUAUUUGACAUCUGUAAAGGCAUCUUUCAUUAGAGAGACUGAUGACUGUUACUACAAAUAUCCCACAGAGUAGUCGAUUGUGCCGGAAGGAGAAUAAAAUGACGUGCCAGAAGCUACGCAAGAGAGAUGAUGUACAUUAUACUGAUUUUAUGAGGCUGUAGAUCUUGGGAAAGGGAGAGAUUUAUAAUGCCACUCCCUACAAUAAUUAAGAAAGCAUGUGUAUGAUUUAUAUGUGUGUAGUGGGAAGAUGAGGCAAUUUACUGAAAAUAUCACAGAAAAUACAAUCUCUGAAUAAAACUGAUCCGUGCAAUAUGUGCCCUCUAUGCCUCAGAAAAUUCCACAUAUUCUACACUAGUUAUGAGGUAAACGUUCAUUUUUCAGAUUGAAAAACAUCUUUCCUUGCUGCAGAAGUCAGACAUUAUUUUCUCUUUCAUAUUCAGUGAUGUGAAGCUGGCUUAAAAAAUACAUGUCUUGUUAAAUGCCGCAUAAUCUCCAAAACACCACUGAUCAGCUGUCAGCAUAACGUUUUAUAAAGCUUGUCUUCAGAAUGAGAGCAGGAAUUAGGUAGGGAUUUUACUUUUAACUAAGCAAAGGCCUGAUUUGGCAGGUCACUUAUGUGUAGGCUUACUGGUUUUGCAUAAAUGCCAUUGAAAUCACUUCCAGAGAUUUAAAAAAAAUCAUAUUUGUCUUACAGCUGAUUCAGGAAGUAAACAAUGGCUUACAUGCUUUGUUGACUUGAGGUCAGGGACAGCAGCGUACAUGCAGUUCUUGAGGUAGAGUUUGUUAAAGCAAUUUAUUUUAAAAGUGUGUUUGUAUAUUUGUGUCUAUAUACAUAUUUAUGUACAUACAUAAAACUUUGAUACUAGAAUUUGUGAUUUUUUUUUUUUGCUUUCAAGUACAACUAAAAAUUCAGCUACCAAAUGACUGUGGGAAGUGAAAUAGAGCAACUCAUUUGAAAGAAGUAUGAGGGCUGCUCUGAAAGUAAUGCCUCCUAUUUUAUGAUGUUGGCCCACAGUGUGAGAGGUGGAUGUUGGUGGUGUGGCAGUAGAGGCUGAACCUUCCCAUCAGUAUUCUGUUACAUGUUGUUGCUUUGUGACAGGCAGCAGAGGGGCAGACUGACAAAAUGGUGUCUGACAUGGAAAUGCAUAUCGAGCAAAAGUGUGACACUGAAUUCCUCCAUGUGAAAAAAAUUGCACCCAGUAACAACCAUCAACACUCACUGAGCACUGACGGAGAC